Non-coding RNA from Tachysurus vachellii, 486 nucleotides. The record is from the annotation of a RefSeq genome assembly. Lineage: Eukaryota; Metazoa; Chordata; Actinopteri; Siluriformes; Bagridae.
AGAGACGUAAUAAAAAGCUCUCUGACCUGGGGAGAUUCUGGAUCAGCAGCCGUACCCGGUGCUAAUCAAAUCACCAUGAGCUCCAUCUGUCUCCUGCUGUUUCUGACAGCUGUGUCCUGUGUGGAUUCGGUUGAAUUUACUCAGUCAGAUAAUAUAGUGGUUCGACCUGGAGAGGUGUUUACCAUCUCCUGUAAAUUCUCUGGGUUUUCAAUAUCCAGCUACUGUCCACACUGGAUUCGACAAACGCCAUCCAAGGCUAUGGAAUAUAUUGGAUAUGUGUGUAGCAGCAGCUCUUCUGUAAAAGACUCACUCAAGAACAAAAUCAGUUUCUCUGCAGACGUUUCCAGCAGCACAGUGUUUUUAAAGGGGCAAAACUUUCAGACUGAGGACACAGCUGUGUAUUACUGUGCCCGAGAGCCACAGUCAUUCAGAUUACUGGUACAGCUGUACAAAAACCAAGGUCAUGCUGUGAUGAGCUCCCUUUAG